RNAcentral lists this ribosomal RNA (250 nucleotides) under uncultured archaeon. Its description in RNAcentral is "partial 16S ribosomal RNA". The record is from RNAcentral.
AGGUAGGCCUUGGAGCGCGCCAUCCGGUAAAGUGUGGCCGGGCGGAAGGUGAUCCCGUCGGCGAAGAUGGCGGCGUCGGGGCGGAAGGUAACGACCGUACCGCGGCGGUUGGCCACCGGUCCCAGAUUCGUGGGCGGUCCUUCCGGCGUGCCUUGCCGAUAGCUCUGGCGCCACAACGUCCGCUCGCGCGCGACCUCGACAAUGAGCUGCUCGGCGAGCGCAUUCACCACCGAGAGCCCCACGCCGUGCA